GAUGAACGCUGGCGGCGUGCCUAAUACAUGCAAGUCGAGCGAACAGAUGAGGAGCUUGCUCCUCUGACGUUAGCGGCGGACGGGUGAGUAACACGUGGAUAACCUACCUAUAAGACUGGGAUAACUUCGGGAAACCGGAGCUAAUACCGGAUAAUAUAUUGAACCGCAUGGUUCAAUAGUGAAAGACGGUUUUGCUGUCACUUAUAGAUGGAUCCGCGCCGCAUUAGCUAGUUGGUAAGGUAACGGCUUACCAAGGCAACGAUGCGUAGCCGACCUGAGAGGGUGAUCGGCCACACUGGAACUGAGACACGGUCCAGACUCCUACGGGAGGCAGCAGUAGGGAAUCUUCCGCAAUGGGCGAAAGCCUGACGGAGCAACGCCGCGUGAGUGAUGAAGGUCUUCGGAUCGUAAAACUCUGAUAUUAGGGAAGAACAAAUGUGUAAGUAACUAUGCACGUCUUGACGGUACCUAAUCAGAAAGCCACGGCUAACUACGUG
This 497-nucleotide ribosomal RNA is filed under the name uncultured bacterium. Its description in RNAcentral is "partial 16S ribosomal RNA". It matches the Rfam family "Bacterial small subunit ribosomal RNA", at positions 28 to 507 of the family's 1533-position model. The record is from RNAcentral.